ACAGGAUUCCCCUAGUACGGCGAGUUUCUCCGGAAGAGAAAAAUUUGAAAUUUGCCAGUCUUCGAUUGUCCGAGUUGUAAUCUAUAGAGGCGUUUUCCGUGCCGGACCGUGUCCAAGUCUCCUGGAAAGGAGUAUCAAAGAGGGUGAUAAUCCCGUACUUAACACGACCACCGGUGCUCUGUGAUACGUCUUCUACGAGUCGAGUUGUUUGGGAAUGCAGCUCAAAAUGGGUGGUGAAUUCCAUCUAAAGCUAAAUAUUGGCGAGAGACCGAUAGCGAACAAGUACCGUGAGGNAAAGAUGAAAAGCACUUUGGAAAGAGAGUUAAACAGUACGUGAAAUUGUUGAAAGGGAAACGAUUGAAGUCAGUCGUGUUCUUUGGAUUCAGCCAGUUCUGCUGGUCUACUUCCUUUGAACGGGUCAACAUCAGUUUUGUCCGGUGGAUAAAGGCAGUAGGAAUGUAGCUUCUCCGGAAGUGUUAUAGCCUAUUGUCACAUACACUGGGUGAGACUGAGGACUGCAGCUCGCCUUUAUGGCCGACCUUCGGGUACGUUCGAGCUUAGGAUGUUGACAUAAUGGCUUUAAACGACCCGUCUGGAAACACGGACCA
This 608-nucleotide ribosomal RNA is filed under the name Trichosporon coremiiforme. Its description in RNAcentral is "eukaryotic LSU rRNA". It matches the Rfam family "Eukaryotic large subunit ribosomal RNA", at positions 69 to 668 of the family's 3401-position model. Lineage: Eukaryota; Fungi; Basidiomycota; Tremellomycetes; Trichosporonales; Trichosporonaceae. The record is from RNAcentral.